UCAGGAUGAACGCUGGCGGCGCGCCUAACACAUGGCAAGUCGAACGGCGAAGUCCCUCGGGGGCGGAACAGUGGCGGACGGGUGAGUAACGCGUGAGUAACCCUGCCCUUACGAGCGGAAUAGCGUCGGGAAACUGACGGUAAUACCGCAUGAAGCUUGACCCCGGCAUCGGGGAGAAGCCAAAGAUUUAUCGCGUAAGGAUGGACUCGCGUCCCAUUAGAUAGUUGGCGGGGCAACGGCCCACCAAGUCAGCGAUGGGUAGCCGGACUGAGAGGUUGAACGGCCACAUUGGAACUGAGAGACGGUCCAGACUCCUACGGGAGGCAGCAGUGGGGAAUAUUGGGCAAUGGGCGAAAGCCUGACCCAGCCGACGCCGCGUGAGCGAAGAAAGGUCUUCGGAUUGUAAAGCUCUGUGUACAGGGACGAAGAAUUGACGGUACCUGUAUAGAAAGCCACGGCUAACUACGUGCCAGCAGCCGC
RNAcentral lists this ribosomal RNA (480 nucleotides) under uncultured bacterium. RNAcentral's name for it is "bacterial SSU rRNA". It matches the Rfam family "Bacterial small subunit ribosomal RNA", at positions 24 to 518 of the family's 1533-position model. The record is from RNAcentral.